UCCGGGGUGGUGUAAUGGUAACACAGAAGACUUUGGAUCUUCUAUUCAUGGUUCGAAUCCAUGCCCCGGAG
Molecule: transfer RNA, 71 nt
Filed under: Elusimicrobia bacterium CG1_02_37_114
Lineage: Bacteria; Pseudomonadati; Elusimicrobiota
Also listed under: 2 other names
Description: tRNA-Gln
Rfam family: tRNA
About the family: Transfer RNA (tRNA) molecules are approximately 80 nucleotides in length. Their secondary structure includes four short double-helical elements and three loops (D, anti-codon, and T loops).
Source: RNAcentral